GACGAACGCUGGCGGCGUGCUUAACACAUGCAAGUCGAACGAGAAUCGGUGGAUAGAGGCUUCGGCCAAUUGAAAUCGAGGACAGUGGCGGACGGGUGAGUAACGCGUGAGGAACCUGCCUUUCAGAGGGGGACAACAGUUGGAAACGACUGCUAAUACCGCAUAACGCAUAGGGGUCGCAUGAUUCUUAUGCCAAAGAUUUAUCGCUGAAAGAUGGCCUCGCGUCUGAUUAGCUAGUUGGUGAGGUAACGGCCCACCAAGGCGACGAUCAGUAGCCGGACUGAGAGGUUGAACGGCCACAUUGGGACUGAGAUACGGCCCAGACUCCUACGGGAGGCAGCAGUGGGGAAUAUUGGGCAAUGGGCGCAAGCCUGACCCAGCAACGCCGCGUGAAGGAAGAAGGCUUUCGGGUUGUAAACCUCUUUCAGCAGGGAGAAGCAAGUGACGGUACCUGCAGAAGAAGUCACGGCUAACUACGUGCCAGCAGCCGACGG
This 494-nucleotide ribosomal RNA is filed under the name uncultured bacterium. RNAcentral's name for it is "bacterial SSU rRNA". It matches the Rfam family "Bacterial small subunit ribosomal RNA", at positions 28 to 520 of the family's 1533-position model. The record is from RNAcentral.